This 513-nucleotide ribosomal RNA is filed under the name uncultured bacterium. RNAcentral describes it as "bacterial SSU rRNA". It matches the Rfam family "Bacterial small subunit ribosomal RNA", at positions 32 to 518 of the family's 1533-position model. The record is from RNAcentral.
AACGCUGGCGGCGUGCCUAAUACAUGCAAGUCGAACGGUCUUUCUAUGGAAGCUUGCUCCACUGAGAAGAUAGUGGCGAACGGGUGAGUAACACGUGGGUAACCUGCCCAUAAGAGGGGGGAUAACAUCCGGAAACGGGUGCUAAUACCGCAUAGUUUUCUUGGUCGCAUGAUCGGGAAAGGAAAGACGGCCUUUGUGCUGUCGCUUAUGGAUGGACCCGCGGCGUAUUAGUUAGUUGGUGAGGUAACGGCUCACCAAGACGAUGAUACGUAGCCGACCUGAGAGGGUGAUCGGCCACAUUGGGACUGAGACACGGCCCAAACUCCUACGGGAGGCAGCAGUAGGGAAUCUUCCGCAAUGGACGAAAGUCUGACGGAGCAACGCCGCGUGAGUGAAAGAAGGUUUUCGGAUCGUAAAACUCUGUUGUCAGAGAAGAACAAGUUGGAGAGUAACUGCUCCAGCCUUGACGGUAUCUGACCAGAAAGCCACGGCUAACUACGUGCCAGCCGCCGC